GCGGAAAAGGGGGGAAUGCUUUAACCGCUAAGCUACCCAGAC
Molecule: transfer RNA, 42 nt
Filed under: Moniliophthora perniciosa FA553
Lineage: Eukaryota; Fungi; Basidiomycota; Agaricomycetes; Agaricales; Marasmiaceae
Description: tRNA-Gly
Source: RNAcentral